GGGUAAAUAGUGAGGGUUUUGGAAUGUUUUGGAAAGAGAUGGCUCAUCUUUUCAAAUGGAUGGUCGUGACUAGGAGUUGACUCGAGCUCUCUUCUGGAGUUGACUUGAGCUAGAGUCAACUUGAACUUAAGUACAAGUCGACUCAAACUCAAUCCCAAAUCAAAAAUAUAAAAUUUUUGCAAGAAAAAUAAAUAUUUAAAACAAGAGAUGACUCAAGGGAGUUCAACCAAGAUAUAAUAAGCAUGAAAUCAACCAAUUUGUGAUUCAAGAAAAGAUCACAUUUAAGAAUCUCAAGG
Molecule: long non-coding RNA, 296 nt
Filed under: Elaeis guineensis (African oil palm)
Lineage: Eukaryota; Viridiplantae; Streptophyta; Magnoliopsida; Arecales; Arecaceae
Description: long non-coding RNA (EGUI_LNC001837)
Source: RNAcentral